Molecule: long non-coding RNA, 252 nt
Filed under: Lathyrus oleraceus (garden pea)
Lineage: Eukaryota; Viridiplantae; Streptophyta; Magnoliopsida; Fabales; Fabaceae
Description: Pisum sativum (pea) long non-coding RNA (PSAT_LNC025491)
Source: RNAcentral
UUUAUUAUAUUAUGUCGGUGUUAGUGCCAUGUUUCAGGUACUUGUCGAUGCAAAACUCACGUGUGAGAAAGAAGUAAAGAAAAGAGAAGAAAUGAAGAAAAGAAGAAAAGCGCUGAAAAUGCAAUUUCUGGGCUUGUGGCGUUCUCCAUGACCCCUUUCCAUGACACUCCAGACUUUUAGUACCAUGGCGUUCGCCACAGGCAUGUAGUGAUGUUUUUCAACAACUGCACAGAACAUGGUCAAAACUCACUC